GAUACCCAGAGGAAGAGACAGAGGAGGGUGCUCCCAGACAGGAGGAGGAGCCUGGGGCUGCAGGUGAGUGCUUCCCUGGGGAUCUGAGGAGGGAGUGGCCAGGGGCGAGGUUAGAAGGAAGAGCAAGGGCCAGAUCACACAGAAACUUUCAAGGCUCUUUAUUCCAGUGGAGGAAACUGAGGCAGUCAGUGGGCCAGUGACCUCCAGGUGAUAGCCAAUCACGGUGAACCACCCAGCCAGGCCACGCUCCUGCCACCCCUCUGCUCUGGAGACCUGUUGCUCAGGAUCUCCAGGCUGCCUUCCUUCUAGGGUCCCCAAGAAGAGACAGCAGGCCCGAGGCCCUGGCCCUGCAGCAACCCCCAUCUUAUCCUCCCCAGACCCCCCCCCCAAGCUCUCCCUCCACACCCCAGCUCUUCCCAAAGGCAUGUUUUUCCAGAAACACAAGCUGAGCGGAACCCCUCCCUGGGCCUGACUGAAAUAAGAACUCCCGCCGAAGAGCACUUUCUUGGAGAGCGCUGCGGAGCCUCCUGCCGACUCUGGAGGACACAUCCAAGCUGGGUUUGCUAAAAUAAUAAUCUUUAGAAACCCAGUUCGCCUGUUGCCAAAAGCCUCGCCUGAGAGCUCCGUGUACCCACAGCCCUGACUGUGAGAUGAAUUAAGCCUGGUGCUGUAGGCCAGACAUCCCAGCUACUCAAGAAGCUAAGGUAGGAGAAAUAAGCUCAAGGCCUGCUUGGGCUACAGAAUGAGUUCAAAUCCAGCCUGGGCAACUUAGUCAACCUCUGUCUCAAAAGCAAAAGAAAAACAAACAAACACAAACAAAAAAGCAAAAUAGGCUGGGCGGUGGUGUCGCAUGCCUUUAAUCCCAGCACGUGGGAGGCAGAGGCAGGAGGAUCUCUGCGAUGGAGCUAGCAUCAUCACUGUGACAGAGCACGCUGAGGCCCCGGGUUCAAGUCCCUGUAUGGCAGCAACCACAACAAAACAAAUGGCCUCCCCAUGGUGUGUUCUCGAGAUAGGCUGUCACAGACACAGCAACAGUGUGUUUGGCUGGGACUCCAGGGAGGCGGAAGCCCACAGAUCCGGUGGCCACGGAGACUGACACCCUACAAGGCAGUCAGCAUGUCUCCAGUUCCAUCGCAUGGGGACCCGAAGGGGCCUUGAGGUGGUGUGACCCCACAGACUUAGCUCAGUUGUGGCAGAGGGCCACAGGCUCUGGAGGACGGCUCUGACCCCCGUCCUGGGCUCUGGAAGAAACCCUGUCUCUCCCGACUCUACCUACCUGACAGGAAGAUGGCCAGGCCACCAGGCUGCACAUACCAGCUGUGGUUGGCUAGCCCCAAAGGACUGUGCCAGCCAUGGCAGGCUCACUGCAUGCCACACACGAGAGCAGCCCAGAUGAACACUGUCACUACCACCUUAGGGACCCUUGAGAUCUCUUCCCGGCAGCUGUGGAGGAAGGACAUCACUAAGGGGUGGAUUUUAUAUUUAUUACGUUUUGCAGUGCUGGGCACGGAACCCGGGUCCCUGUGCUUGCCAGGCCCUACCACUGAGUCCCACUGAGGCCUGAGGCAGUUGGAGAGGAAGGCAUGGAUCUCUGCAGACGGCUCAUCUGGCUGCCCCUGUCUGGGGGCCCUUUACUUUCUGCCCCCUGCAGAUUAGGAGUGUCCCAAAGUGACUGCUCACACCAGGAGCUCCCAGACCAUCCUUCAUCUAAUGCCAGUAAACAAGGACUCUGCCUGCCUCCGUCUUACAGAUGAAGGAACCAAGUCCAGAGAGCCGACAGUACUCAGAUGAAGCCACUUAGCUACUAAGGAUUGGAGAGCUGGGGAAGUGAGUCCUCCACCCUCCGUGGGUCCCAAGGCCUGCGUGAUGUGCUGUCGCUGGCAGCCGAUCUCUGUCCUUCACCCUAACUUUGCUGAUGAUCCCUUGUUAUGUGGCCCUGGGCAAGUUGCUGUCCUUUUCUGAGACUUCACUCUCUCAUCUUAAAAAUAGACCCAAGAAGAAUCACAGGUACCGUUUAGUGGCUAAGUUGGGGACACAGAGAGACAAGUCAGAUAAAACCCCAGACGAGCCAGGCAGGUCCCUCAACAGUUAUCUACAGCCGUUCUCUCUCUUCCCGUGGGUGAUAGAUACACUGUUGGCCCAGCCAUUUAACAAGGAUGUGUUUGUCCGGCCCACUGGCCUCUCCCUCCACAUUCCUCCUUCUCAGUUUAGGGUGGUGCUAAAUCAGAGCCAGGGGCUUGUCUGUCGCAGAAGCUCGGGGGGAUGUUUUGUGGGCACGGGGCCUCUGAAGUCGGUGCCCUCCGCAGGAUUGCAGGCUGGAGGACAAGCAACACCCACUUCACUCAGAACCCCGAGAGCUUCCCCAGGUUCUCCCGGGAGCAUGGGGACACUUGGGGUACUUCUCUGGGCAGCUGAGCACCCCAAGAUAGCACUGUUCUUGGAAUCCCUGAGCUCUGAGUCCCUUGGUUUUCAACCUGGGUUGCCAUUUAUUACUGAUGAUGCCCAGAUGCUGCUGCUGUCGUCGUUAGUGUUUUAAGAGAAGGGUGCUUUUCAACUUGAGGGGGAUUUUCUAGAGAUGUGUGUCACUGCGAUUGGAUUGUACCUGGGCCUACUCGACUCCCCGGAUCCUACCACUUGGCUGCCCCUCUUUGGCCAGAUCUCCCCCUGGCUCUCAGAGUCAGACACACCAAAUCUGUGCCCUCAUUUCAGGAGGAGACAGCGGAACAGGGAAUGAUCACCUGGCACCAAGGACCUGGCUGAGAACAGUCCACUGUGGAUUCUGAUCUGCUCCCCAGGGACCCCAGCAGGCCCACAGUCACCUGCUUCUGAACAUAGGGGCCAGGUCUUCAUCUCCCACUGCCCACUUCCUUGGAGGACCUCCCACAUUCAUCUCUAGAGGAAGCCACCCACACUGGCUCUCUCUCUGCCGCUGUGUCCUGACAGUGACCCCAGCUGCUCACACUGACUGUUACUGCUCCUGUUCUCCAGGCCCGAGACAUGGGGCCAAGAGGCUGGGGAAUGUGCUCUCAGUCACGGAGCCCUGGAGAGUUUCUCUGUUGGUUGAAAUGCCAAUGUCGUCAAACGGACAGACUCUGGCAUCAUGUAGGAGACAGCCCUCUGGGCAUGUCUGUGAAGGAGUUUCCAGGUUAGGUUAACUGAGGUGGGAGACUCACCCUAACUGUGAGGGACACCAUCCCUGGGCUGGACUCCGGGGCUGGAUGAAACUGAGAAACUGAACUGA
Molecule: non-coding RNA, 3241 nt
Organism: Peromyscus maniculatus bairdii (prairie deer mouse)
Lineage: Eukaryota; Metazoa; Chordata; Mammalia; Rodentia; Cricetidae
Source: RefSeq, a predicted model, not a curated record